Molecule: transfer RNA, 71 nt
Filed under: Amazilia millerii
Lineage: Eukaryota; Metazoa; Chordata; Aves; Apodiformes; Trochilidae
Description: tRNA-Glu
Source: RNAcentral
GUUUCUGUAGUUGAAGAGGACAACAGUGACUUUUCAGGUCACAGGACUUGGAUAGAGGCCAAGCAGGAAUU